This 116-nucleotide ribosomal RNA is filed under the name Ostreibacterium oceani. Lineage: Bacteria; Pseudomonadati; Pseudomonadota; Gammaproteobacteria; Cardiobacteriales; Ostreibacteriaceae. The record is from RNAcentral.
GCUGGUAUACAUAGAGACGUGGAACCACCUGAUCCCAUCCCGAACUCAGAAGUGAAACGCGUCAUCGCCGAUGAUAGUGUGGGGCCUCCCCAUGUGAAAGUAGGUCAAUGCCAGCG